RNAcentral lists this ribosomal RNA (389 nucleotides) under uncultured bacterium. RNAcentral's name for it is "bacterial SSU rRNA". It matches the Rfam family "Bacterial small subunit ribosomal RNA", at positions 31 to 415 of the family's 1533-position model. The record is from RNAcentral.
GAACGCUAGCGGCAGGCUUAAUACAUGCAAGUCGAGGGGCAGCAUGAAGUAGCAAUACUUUGAUGGCGACCGGCAAACGGGUGCGGAACACGUACACAACCUCCCUUUAAGUGGGGAAUAGCCCAGAGAAAUUUGGAUUAAUACCCCGUAACAUUGCGAUGUGGCAUCACAUUGCAAUUAUAGUUUCGACGCUUAAUGAUGGGUGUGCGUAUGAUUAGAUAGUUGGCGAGGUAACGGCUCACCAAGUCUACGAUCACUAGCUGAUGUGAGAGCAUGAUCAGCCACACGGGCACUGAGACACGGGCCCGACUCCUACGGGAGGCAGCAGUAAGGAAUAUUGGUCAAUGGACGCAAGUCUGAACCAGCCAUGCCGCGUGAAGGAUUAAGGU